This 3986-nucleotide long non-coding RNA is filed under the name Marmota monax (woodchuck). Lineage: Eukaryota; Metazoa; Chordata; Mammalia; Rodentia; Sciuridae. The record is from RNAcentral.
GGGAAAUUGCAAAUAUUUGUGAAGAUGAGACUGUGAUUGAUUGUGCCACCAAUAUGGGAAUUUUGAGAGCUAUCGGGAAAUUCCUAGAAGACUUGAGUUACCAUAUAUUUCGUAACUUCAGAAAGCACAGUGCAGUGCUCCCCAUGAUAACAUCAAUUAGUGGGAAAAACUCCUCCAAAAGAAAUCCCAAAGAAUGCUUCAACAGUGAAGGGCGCCAAACAGCAGAUGCAGAAACAUCUGCAAACACUUCCUAAGGGCAGGAGAGUGGAUUCUGUUAAUCACACUGUGGGCAGCAUAGCCUUCCCAGCAGAGAGAAACACAGUUGGAACAUUGAUGACAAGAGUGUGGACUUCCACUUACAAAUAUAUAACUGAUUGGAGCAAAUAAAAAUAAAAUAAUAAAAAAUUUAAAAAUCAGUCUGCAAAAAAUCAUUGCAGAUAGGAAACCCACAUUGUGCAAAAAAUUCCAGCAUCUGAGCAACUGAGUUAUCCAAAAAUGAAGGUUCAUGUGGCAUUGUAAACCUCAGCUGUGUCACCAGCCACGGUUGUAGAUUCUAAAGGAAAAACUCAUCAUCAACUUAAAUAGAUAGAAUAGGUUUUUCCCAUAAAAUCAUGAGAUUAAAUACCACAUAAUAAAAGUUAAAAAUUUUAGGAUGUAGCAAUAGAGAAGAUUUUACUUACCUUGAGAUUAUAUCAGCUGAAUAAACAGUAUCAUAUUUGGGGUUAAACAUGGGAAGCCUCCCUCUCAGAUCAGAUCUGAGUAAAAGUAUCUUCUUUCCCUGUAUCUUCAAAAGUAUCUUCUGCUCCUCAUGCCUGCAGAGGGCUUGAUUGUCAGUACAGUAGGUUCAGGUUAUAAUCACUGGAAAGAAGGCAGCAUUAUCCUUCUUCAUAAACAGAUUAAAUUUUAUGGAGGCAAACUGCAGAAGUAUUCACUAAAUUAUUUGAAUUAUAUGAGAGAUUGUUCUAGAUUAUUGGGAACAAAGACAUAAAAAAUUUUUUGAAUUACUAUAUUUUAUCACAAAACUAUUAUUAAAUCUCCAUUUAAGAAUGAUACCAUUUAGAUAGACUUUUUAAAAGGAGAUGAAAAUCAGAAAUGAGACAUGAUAAAAAUGUUAAGCUUGCAAUUGGAAAAUGAUGACAUAAAUUACUCUAAAUGACUGUAGCAUUUUAAUAAAAUUGAUGUCCACUAAUUUUAAAAAGGUGAUAAAGGUAUAUAUAUGGAAGCAUGCUGCAGAGACACAUAAGACUGAGAGUAGAGUAGAAAGGCAGGCAUAAAAUGAAAUUGGAUGCAACUCUUUUGAAAUAUAACUGAAUAUCAAAUGAGUCAUGAAAAUGAAGAUGAGAACCUAAGAAAAAUAAUAGAUUACAGGACACCUGAGACAGUGUAUGGAACAGAAUGGAAAUUUCUCAUAGGUGUUAAGAGAAAAAUCAAGAUCAAUGUGGGACAGAGAUUUUAAACACAGCUCAAUUGAAAUCCUGACAGAAAUGCAGUGGUAUGACAGCCACUAACACACACAGGAAAUGAAGGAAUGGAAACAGCACAGGCAUAUAUGAAAGAAAAGAGAAUUAGAGUUAGAAAUUAAGAGAGAGGAACAUAUGGGGACAUUAAGACAAAUAUUAGAAAGAAAAAUCUGAAACGGACUCAAGUCCCUUGCAGAAGCUCAGAUGUGGUAAAGGGAAUUCAUGUAGGAUCUUCCCACCUCACUGUCUCCUGGUGCUGAGGGCUGCAGGGUCCUUCUCCAGGCAGUCAGCCUCUUUGACACAGUGAGGUGUCUUGGAAAGGCAGUGUUUGACCUGCAAAGCCUCAAUUUCAGGGACAGAAUGACUACACCUCUCCUCCCAGGGGUCAUCCAUCACCUUGUCACUUCCUGCCUCAAUGACCUUGUUUACCAUGAAUCAUUUUGAUGCACCCAGAGGAGCGUGGGAUCCUCUCCCAGCACACAAUGAUCCUCUGGGAGUAACUGUUAGGUUUAUUAAUCAGGAGUGCUAAGUCAUCACUAGAGAAUGUGUUUUCUCCUGUUGGACUGCUUCAGAAAGUAAACCUGAGGAUCUAGAAAGACACUGAAAGUAUCCACACAGUUGAUGGAAAUGGCCACAGCUCUGGAUCCAAGCUGACCCCUAGCAGUUCUCCAGAGAACAUGCUGGCUGCUCCACGGGGGGCCAUUGUUCCUUCUGCAGUCACUCUGUGAUUCAAUGUCCUCCACACUCCCUGAAGCACAGGCAAGGGGGAACUUUUACUUUUAAUAGCCUGAAUUUUUAAUAGCCUAAAAUUGUUAAUUUAAUAGCCUGAAUUGCUUCAUCAUUUAUAUUUCCACACCAUACUUACAACAUUAGCAAAAUGUUCUGCAUUUGUCAAAAAAAUAACAUUCUGUCUUUAAAAUUAAAAUUUGCUUCCUCUUCAAGAUGGGAUACACAAACUCCCAAAUCUCCAUUGCUCCACCCAACAGUCAUGAAGAUGGAGGGGUUACAAAUCAGUAUCCCAUGAAGUCCUGAUGAACCCGUACACUCGACCCUACCUGUGCAUACAUGUGCUAACAAGCAUAGAAAGGAGUUUGAGAACUAAGCCCAGGGGACCUCUGCCCAAUCCCUUGUAUACAUUCUAGGACUGGAUCUGAAUAGCAAAGCUAAGGUUGUAAACCAACACUGGAAUCCUGAGUUCACAGAAAAUAUCAACAAGCAGGGAAAUAGAACACAUUCUCUAUUGAAUAUCAAUAGGAUCACAAGUUCUGAACUAUAAAAUCCAUGUGUUCUGAAAAAAACAAAAAUAAAAUAUCAUUAAGACCACAAGUUUGAAUAUUAUCCUAGUGUUAAAAGUGGUUUACACAUAACCAUUACAGUACUAAAUGUGCUGUAGUUGAACAUAUACUUUUCACUCAGAGGCCUCCACGGUGAGAUGUGGCCUGCUACUGAGGUCUAUUGGGUCCCAGCCCAGACUUUGCAUGGUGGUGAGACUGUGUUCAGAAGAGGCCACCUGCUGGGGCUCUGCAGCAGAGAGGGGAUUGGUAGGCUGAAUUUUGUGGUCAUUGUUUUGAAGUUUGAGCAACAAAAUCUCUCCUUGCAUAGUGAACAUCAAUCAAUACACACCCAACAAUGAGUCAACAAAGAAGUUCAAAGUAUUUGCCACUAAAGUGAAAGGAGAAUUACAAAAAUGCUCAAGCUAGCUAACUAACCUUUCAACAAAGCAAUGCUGAUACUUACUGAUGUUUGAUGUUUUAUUUGGUUUGGUUUGGUACCAGGGAUUGAGCCUGGGCGCUGAACCACUCAGCCACAUUGCCAGCCCUUUUUUAUAUGUUAUUUAGAGACAGGGUCUCCCUGAAUUGCAGAGUGCCUUGGUCAUCUGCUGAGACUAGUUUUGGACUUGGGAUCCUAUUGCCUCAGCCCCUUGAGUUGCUGGGAUUACAGGCGUACACUGCCAUGGCCAGAACUUGGUGAUGUUUGAAAAGAGAAUAUAAAGCCAAGGAAUAGAAGGUAUAAUGAUAACCGAAUGGAAGUUAUAGAGUUCAUAAACACAGCAACCAAAAUUGAAACUCCAUGAAUGUCCUAAGUGAAAGAAAUGAUGACAAUUGGGAAAGUGGGUAUAGUGUCAGAUAGAUCAGUAAGUAGAAACCAGUAGGAACAAGACAGAGGAAAAGGGCUUGAAGGAAAAUGAAGAAAGUUCACCCCUGUAGGACAAAACCAAAAGUAUCACAUUUAUUCAGAGUAACAGAAGGAAAGAGAAAUAAAUGUGGGAUGAGAAAAGAUAUGAGAAAAAAUAGUUGAGGGGCUGGGGAUGUGCCUCAAGCGGUAGCUCGCUCGCCUGGCUGGAACGGGGCACUGGGUUGGAUCCUCAGCACCAUAUAAAAAUAAAAUAAAGAUGUUGUGUCCACCAAAAACUAAAAAUAAAUAUUAAAAAAUUCUCUCUCUCUUUUCUCUCUCUCUUAAAAAAAAAGAAAAAGAAGUUGAAAGUUUGUUGAGAGACAUAGAUCAACCAUUAAAAAGCUGAGCUAG